Molecule: small RNA, 768 nt
Filed under: Pan troglodytes (chimpanzee)
Lineage: Eukaryota; Metazoa; Chordata; Mammalia; Primates; Hominidae
Description: processed transcript
Source: RNAcentral
GAUCAUUAGAGUUCUCAUCUUGGAAUCUGAAGGGAAAAGGCCAAGGCAUCAGCGUGUGAAGACCGCAAAGACGAUCCCGAGUACAGUUGUGAACAGCAUUGCUGCUAGGCUCCUCCUGCAGAUCAUCUGAAAUGAACCUCUCUUAUUGAUUUUUAUUGGCCUAGAGCCAGGAGUACUGCAUUCAGUUGACUUUCAGGGUAAAAAGAAAACAGUCCUGGUUGUUGUCAUCAUAAACAUAUGGACCAGUGUGAUGGUGAAAUGAGAUGAGGCUCCGCAAUGGAACUGUAGCCACUGCUUUAGCAUUUAUCACUUCCUUCCUUACUUUGUCUUGGUAUACUACAUGGCAAAAUGGGAAAGAAAAACUGAUUGCUUAUCAACGAGAAUUCCUUGCUUUGAAAGAACGUCUUCGAAUAGCUGAACACAGAAUCUCACAGCGCUCUUCUGAAUUAAAUACGAUUGUGCAACAGUUCAAGCGUGUAGGAGCAGAAACAAAUGGAAGUAAGGAUGCGUUGAAUAAGUUUUCAGAUAAUACCCUAAAGCUGUUAAAGGAGUUAACAAGCAAAAAAUCUCUUCAAGUGCCAAGUAUUUAUUAUCAUUUGCCUCAUUUAUUGAAAAAUGAAGGAAGUCUUCAACCUGCUGUACAGAUUGGCAACGGAAGAACAGGAGUUUCAAUAGUCAUGGGCAUUCCCACAGUGAAGAGAGAAGUUAAAUCUUACCUCAUAGAAACUCUUCAUUCCCUUAUUGAUAACCUGUAUCCUGAAGAGAAGU